This 494-nucleotide ribosomal RNA is filed under the name uncultured bacterium. RNAcentral describes it as "partial 16S ribosomal RNA". It matches the Rfam family "Bacterial small subunit ribosomal RNA", at positions 28 to 507 of the family's 1533-position model. The record is from RNAcentral.
GACGAACGCUGGCGGCGUGCUUAACACAUGCAAGUCGAACGGAAAGGCCUGCUUUCCCUUGUGGAUUGCGGGUACUCGAGUGGCGAACGGGUGAGUAACACGUGAGUGAUCUGCCCCCAACUUGGGUAUAAGCCUGGGAAACUGGGUCUAAUUCCCGAUAGGACUGCAGGGUGGUGCCUGUGGUGGAAAACGAUUUUCUAGUGGUUGGGGAUGAGCUCGCGGCCUAUCAGCUUGUUGGUGGGGUAAUGGCCUACCAAGGCGGCGACGGGUAGCCGGCCUGAGAGGGUGGACGGCCACAUUGGGACUGAGAUAAGGCCCAGACUCCUACGGGAGGCAGCAGUGGGGAAUAUUGCACAAUGGGCGGAAGCCUGAUGCAGCGACGCCGCGUGGGGGAUGACGGCCUUCGGGUUGUAAACUCCUUUCGACCGCGAGGAAGCCACCUGGUUGGAAGGGUGGUGACGGUAGUGGUAGAAGAAGCACCGGCUAACUACGUG